RNAcentral lists this ribosomal RNA (266 nucleotides) under uncultured bacterium. RNAcentral's name for it is "partial 16S ribosomal RNA". It matches the Rfam family "Bacterial small subunit ribosomal RNA", at positions 793 to 1055 of the family's 1533-position model. The record is from RNAcentral.
GUCCACGCCCUAAACGAUGUCGACUGGUUGUUGGGGAAGGCAACUUCCUUAGUAACGAAGCUAACGCGUGAAGUCGACCGCCUGGGGAGUACGGCCGCAAGGUUAAAACUCAAAGGAAUUGACGGGGACCCGCACAAGCGGUGGAUGAUGUGGAUCAAUUCGAUGCAACGCGAAAAACCUUACCUACCCUUGACAUGUGCGGAAGCCUGGUGAGAGCCGGGUGUGCCCGAAAGGGAGCCGCAACACAGGUGCUGCAUGGCUGUCGU